AAACAUUCAUCUGCCAAGAGUUGUGAGUCAUCAAAAGAAACCUGUGAAGCAAAAAUAGACCAGGAGUGUUUCCUAGUGACAGUCUCUACAGGUAAACAUCAUCUUAAAAUUCGGAAAUGUAGUAGUAACUGCACAAAUGCUAUUCCAAAUCAAUCCCAACAUGCAUGCUGCGAUUCGCAUUCUUUGUGUAAGAAGCUACAAGGCAUCGUCCUUUCUUGGCCUGUUCUACUUAGAGCUGUUCAUUGAGUCCUGGAACAUGUCAUCAAGCCUUCUCCUGUUGAAUCAUACCUCCAGCCUCAGACCCUGAUGUCUACAUAGCAUUCAUUGGAUACUGUUCCUAUUCUAC
Molecule: non-coding RNA, 346 nt
Organism: Peromyscus maniculatus bairdii (prairie deer mouse)
Lineage: Eukaryota; Metazoa; Chordata; Mammalia; Rodentia; Cricetidae
Source: RefSeq, a predicted model, not a curated record